This 1106-nucleotide ribosomal RNA is filed under the name Pseudoalteromonas sp. 18I-5. RNAcentral's name for it is "bacterial SSU rRNA". It matches the Rfam family "Bacterial small subunit ribosomal RNA", at positions 55 to 1165 of the family's 1533-position model. Lineage: Bacteria; Pseudomonadati; Pseudomonadota; Gammaproteobacteria; Alteromonadales; Pseudoalteromonadaceae. The record is from RNAcentral.
AUGCAAGUCGAGCGGUAACAGAAAGUAGCUUGCUACUUUGCUGACGAGCGGCGGACGGGUGAGUAAUGCUUGGGAACAUGCCUUGAGGUGGGGGACAACAGUUGGAAACGACUGCUAAUACCGCAUAAUGUCUACGGACCAAAGGGGGCUUCGGCUCUCGCCUUUAGAUUGGCCCAAGUGGGAUUAGCUAGUUGGUGAGGUAAUGGCUCACCAAGGCGACGAUCCCUAGCUGGUUUGAGAGGAUGAUCAGCCACACUGGGACUGAGACACGGCCCAGACUCCUACGGGAGGCAGCAGUGGGGAAUAUUGCACAAUGGGCGCAAGCCUGAUGCAGCCAUGCCGCGUGUGUGAAGAAGGCCUUCGGGUUGUAAAGCACUUUCAGUCAGGAGGAAAGGUUAGUAGUUAAUACCUGCUAGCUGUGACGUUACUGACAGAAGAAGCACCGGCUAACUCCGUGCCAGCAGCCGCGGUAAUACGGAGGGUGCGAGCGUUAAUCGGAAUUACUGGGCGUAAAGCGUACGCAGGCGGUUUGUUAAGCGAGAUGUGAAAGCCCCGGGCUCAACCUGGGAACUGCAUUUCGAACUGGCAAACUAGAGUGUGAUAGAGGGUGGUAGAAUUUCAGGUGUAGCGGUGAAAUGCGUAGAGAUCUGAAGGAAUACCGAUGGCGAAGGCAGCCACCUGGGUCAACACUGACGCUCAUGUACGAAAGCGUGGGGAGCAAACGGGAUUAGAUACCCCGGUAGUCCACGCCGUAAACGAUGUCUACUAGAAGCUCGGAGCCUCGGUUCUGUUUUUCAAAGCUAACGCAUUAAGUAGACCGCCUGGGGAGUACGGCCGCAAGGUUAAAACUCAAAUGAAUUGACGGGGGCCCGCACAAGCGGUGGAGCAUGUGGUUUAAUUCGAUGCACGCGAAGAACCUUACCUACACUUGACAUACAGAGAACUUACCAGAGAUGGUUUGGUGCCUUCGGGAACUCUGAUACAGUGCUGCAUGGCUGUCGUCAGCUCGUGUGUGAGAUGUUGGUUAGUCCGCACCGAGCGCAACCCUAUCCUACUUGCUAGCAGGUAUGGCGUGAGACCUCUAAGAGACUGCCGGGUGAUAACCG